GCCGGGUGCGAUGGUGAACACCUGUAAUCCCAGCAGCUCGGGAGGCUGAGGCAGGAGGAUUGUGAGUUUAAAGCAGGCCUCAGAAACUUAGCAAGGAUCUAAGCAACUUAGCAUGACCCUGUCUCCA
RNAcentral lists this small RNA (127 nucleotides) under Marmota monax (woodchuck). Lineage: Eukaryota; Metazoa; Chordata; Mammalia; Rodentia; Sciuridae. The record is from RNAcentral.